CGCUGAUAGGCAGUGUGCACCAGGCUUCCUGCUUCCUGUCUAAAGAGGGAUUAUCAGUUGAUUGGCAAAUGCCUAUGGAAUGAGACGGUUGGUACCGAGGUGCGAGAGGCAGGGGCUCUCUAGCCAUCCCGUGUGUGCGGGGAAGCAACUCAACACCACAAUGCUUAUUACUCUUGGAGAGGUGAUGUCUUUAUAUCUCUUCCCUGCUGUGGAAUCCCAGGUCUGUGGUCAACAUGCCACACAAAUGAUGGCAAAGCUCAGUCUGCCCUGCAACAGCGUUGGGACGAGGCUUUAACCUGGAGUUGCCUACCAGCAUAACGGAAAAAAAGAUGGCUUCAGUAGACAGAAGAGAUGCGAGACCCACCAGUACUUUCUCUCUUCCCAUUCACUCAACCACUUUCACAAUGCCUGCCACUCUGUAUUCCAUACUUCGACUCUCUGCCAUGAAUGACCCCCAAAGCCCAUGUGCUGGAGACUUGAUCCUCAGCCUACUGAGAUGCUACUGAACAGUGAUGUGACUUUAAGAGUCUGAGCUGGGCUGGAGAGAUGGCUCAGCAGUUAAGAGCACUGACUGCUCUUCCAGAGGUCCUGAGUUCAAA
This is a long non-coding RNA of Mus musculus (house mouse), 599 nucleotides long. RefSeq annotates it as predicted gene, 33176. Lineage: Eukaryota; Metazoa; Chordata; Mammalia; Rodentia; Muridae. The transcript is spliced from 3 exons. The record is from RefSeq and is a predicted model, not a curated record.